UGGGGAAUAUUGGCACAAUGGGCGCAAGGCCUGAUGCAGCAACGCCGCGUGCAGGGAUGACGGCCUUCGGGCUUGGUAAAACCUCUUUUAGUAGGGAAGAAGCGAAAGUGACGGUACCUGCAGAAAAAGCACCGGCUAACUACGUGCCAGCAGCCGCGGUAAUACGUAGGGUGCGAGCGUUGUCCGGAAUUAUUGGGCGUAAAGAGCUCGUAGGCGGUCUGUCGCGUCUGCUGUGAAAACCCGAGGCUCAACCUCGGGCCUGCAGUGGGUACGGGCAGACUAGAGUGCGGUAGGGGAGAAUGGAAUUCCUGGUGUAGCGGUGGAAUGCGCAGAUAUCAGGAGGAACACCGAUGGCGAAGGCAGUUCUCUGGGCCGUAACUGACGCUGAGGAGCGAAAGCGUGGGGAGCGAACAGGAUUAGAUACCCUGGUAGUCCACGCCGUAAACGUUGGGCGCUAGAUGUGGGGCACCAUUCCACGGUUUCCGUGUCGCAGCUAACGCAUUAAGCGCCCC
RNAcentral lists this ribosomal RNA (512 nucleotides) under uncultured bacterium. RNAcentral describes it as "partial 16S ribosomal RNA". It matches the Rfam family "Bacterial small subunit ribosomal RNA", at positions 355 to 870 of the family's 1533-position model. The record is from RNAcentral.